RNAcentral lists this long non-coding RNA (1213 nucleotides) under Phoenix dactylifera (date palm). Its description in RNAcentral is "long non-coding RNA (PDAC_LNC006140)". The record is from RNAcentral. Lineage: Eukaryota; Viridiplantae; Streptophyta; Magnoliopsida; Arecales; Arecaceae.
AUAUCCAGUAGUUUUACAUCAAACUUCAACAAUAAAUUUCUACUAAAAUAAAGACCAAAAUUUUGCUUUUAAUCACUCUCCAAAAAUAUCCUCGUGCCAUCUUAGUUCCUAGGAUUUGUAAAACUAGUAAGAUGUCGAAUAAUAAGCUACACAACCUAGCAAGCAAUGAAUACUUAAAUUGGAUAAAUUAAGUAAUAAAAUAAAUAAUAUUUUAAUAAAAAUAAGCAUGUGGAAUAAAUCAAAUCAAAACUAAAUUUAGAUAUGCAACACUAUCAAAAUAUUAUGCAUGCGAAUCUCAAUUUUCUCAAAAUUUAAAUUUCGUUCAUAAAUUUAAUUUCUUUCAAAGCAUUAAGUUUAUCACGUUAGUCAUGAACUAUGACCACACAUGCAUCCUAUGACUAUGCUGGAUAACGAGCUCAAAAAAGUCGAAGUGUCAACGUAUAACCUCCACUGAUAAAGUAUCGAUGUGCCAACAUAUAACCCUCACUAGCAGAGUAUCGAUGUGCUAACAUAUAAUCUCUAUUGGCAGAAUAUCAACGUACAAGUAUAUAAACCCCACUGACGGGGUAUCGAUGUACCAGCACAUAACCUCUAUUGGUAGGGUAUCGAUGUACCAGCACUUAACCUCCACUAGCAGAAUAUUCGAGUCCAAAUCCAUCUCAAAUCAAAGCUCUUUUUUAUUCAAAAACAAGUUUCAUGUUCCAAUUUGAGAAAUACACAAAAUUGUACAGUAUUGAAAUCAAUUGAGCAUAAUCCAUAUCGAAAUCAGUAUGUUCAGUUAUGAAUCAUAUACUAUUUCAAAAAUAAGAUAUAUUCAAUAAUAAAGUACUAUGCAUCAAAUUCAUGUAUCACAAGUAAUACGACUCAGAGUUAUUAAGUAUCAAUCUAGAAAGAGUUACAUUACGUACCUUGCAAGUACAACUAGCUGACAAAUUCACAAACUUUGAAAAUCUUCCUCAAAGCCUAAUAUUCAAGAAUUACAUUUUUAUCAAAAUUUAGCCAUGAUUAAUUUUAAAAUAAAAAUCCUAAGUCUCAAUACCCUCACACAAUCAAAUCUAAUAAUUAGAGAAUACUGCAAUAGAUAUGGUGGACAGACGUGAAGAAAGAGUGGAGGAAUGACAAGGCUGGCAACACUAAUUUUAUCUGAUUAAGGUUAGAUUAGGAUGCAGGUGGCUCAGUAGAGAUUGAGGACAAUAAAUCUAGUGGUGUCUAA